This is a long non-coding RNA of Gallus gallus (chicken), 542 nucleotides long. NCBI's taxonomy places the organism in Eukaryota, Metazoa, Chordata, Aves, Galliformes, Phasianidae. The record is from Ensembl.
CUAAAAGACACGGCAGAGUUUGUGAGGGCUGGAACAAGUCUGUGCCACUGUCAGUUGGGGGGGAAGAAGGGGAACCACCCGUCCAUCACCUGACUGCAAAAAAUGUUCUACAAUUGUUCCUGCAUGAGAAUCAGAUAUUGCCCGCAAACUUGGAUGGCAUGUAAAACAGAUAUUAACAAGUGAUAAGAUUGUCCCUUCUAGUGCUACAAAUCCAGUCCUGGGCGACUUUUGCAUUCUGGUUUCACAGGAAAGCAUCCGGGCGGGUUUUGAGUAUCUACAGAGAAGGAGACUCCACAACUUCUCUGGGCAGCCUGUUCCAGUCCUCUGUCACCCUCAAAGUAAGAAGUUCUUUCUCGUGUUCAGAUUGAACGUCUUGUGUUCCAGUUUGUGCCUAUACCCCUCGUCCUGUCACUGUGCACCACCAGAAAGAGUCUGGCCACAUACACUUGACACCCACCCUUUAAUUUAAAAGUAUUGAUAGGACUCCCUCUCAGUCUCUACCAGGAUGAGCAGUCCCAGCCUUUCUUCAUAUGGGAGAUGCU